Molecule: ribosomal RNA, 445 nt
Filed under: uncultured bacterium
Lineage: Bacteria
Description: partial 16S ribosomal RNA
Rfam family: Bacterial small subunit ribosomal RNA
Source: RNAcentral
GUGAGGAAUAUUGCGCAAUGGAGGCAACUCUGACGCAGCCAUGCCGCGUGCAGGAAGAAGGCGCUACGCGUUGUAAACUGCUUUUAACCGGGAAGAAACCCCAGGACGUGUCCUGGGUUGACGGUACCGGAGGAAUAAGCACCGGCUAACUUCGUGCCAGCAGCCGCGGUAAUACGAAGGGUGCAAGCGUUAUCCGGAUUCAUUGGGUUUAAAGGGUGCGUAGGCGGAGCGUUAAGUCAGUGGUGAAAUCCUGCAGCUUAACUGUAGACUUGGCAAUUAUACUUGCGCUCUUGAGUGCGCUUGAAGUGGGCGGAAUGUGCCGUGUAGCGGUGAAAUGCUUAGAUAUGGCACAGAACACCAAUUGCGAAGGCAGCUCACUAAGGCGAUAAUGACGGUGAGGCACGAAAGCGUGGGGAUCGAACAGGAUUAGAAACCCGAGUAGUCC